UACAGAGGUGGCAAGCGUUGUUCGGAAUUACUGGGCGUAAAGGGCGCGUAGGCGGCCUUCUAAGUCAGACGUGAAAUCCCCCGGCUUAACCUGGGAACUGCGUCUGAUACUGGGAGGCUUGAGUAUGGGAGAGGGAUGUAGAAUUCCAGGUGUAGCGGUGAAAUGCGUAGAUAUCGUCAAGAACACCUAUAGCGAAGGCAGCUUACUAGGCUGUAACUGACGCUGAGGCACGAAAGUGUGGGGAUCAAACAGG
RNAcentral lists this ribosomal RNA (253 nucleotides) under uncultured bacterium. Its description in RNAcentral is "partial 16S ribosomal RNA". It matches the Rfam family "Bacterial small subunit ribosomal RNA", at positions 524 to 776 of the family's 1533-position model. The record is from RNAcentral.